GACGAACCGUGCGAACGUUGUUCGGAUUCACUGGGCUUAAAGGGCGCGUAGGCGGGCAAGCAAGUCCGGGGUGAAAUCUUUCGGCUCAACCGGAAAAGUGCCUUGGAUACUGCUUGUCUUGAGGGAGGUAGGGGUCAUGGGAACUUCCGGUGGAGCGGUGAAAUGCGUUGAUAUCGGAAGGAACGCCGGUGGCGAAAAGCGCAUGACUGGAUCUCUUCUGACGCUGA
This 227-nucleotide ribosomal RNA is filed under the name uncultured bacterium. RNAcentral's name for it is "partial 16S ribosomal RNA". It matches the Rfam family "Bacterial small subunit ribosomal RNA", at positions 524 to 749 of the family's 1533-position model. The record is from RNAcentral.